AUGGGAUUCUAUAGUCUUAAUGAAUCCCUCCAUCAGGAGGUGGCCAAGUACCAAUCCAGGUUCUUCUGGGCAGGGAAAGGUGAUAAGCAAAAAUACCGUAUGGUGAAGUAGACGGAGAUCGGCAAGCCCAAGGACCAGGGGGGUCUUGGUAUCAUCUCAUCCAAAAAGAUGAAUAUUGCCCUUCUAGCUAAAUGGCUAUGGAGGACCGCCUCUGGUGAGGGUGGCCUAUGGCUCGACAUUAUUCGAGCUAAAUACCUGCGGGGCCAACCCCUAGCGUUUGCGCAAAGAGCCGGCGGAUCACAGUUUUGGCAAACGAUUGUGCAGUUGAUGCCAGUGCUUUGGAUCGGAUCGUCAAUGGAGGUGGGCCGAGGCACCGCCACCCUAUUCUGGUUGGACCGGUGGUGCGGCCCCCUGUAG
RNAcentral lists this ribosomal RNA (417 nucleotides) under Triticum aestivum (bread wheat). RNAcentral describes it as "partial small subunit ribosomal RNA". Lineage: Eukaryota; Viridiplantae; Streptophyta; Magnoliopsida; Poales; Poaceae. The record is from RNAcentral.